CAAGAAGUAGUUUAGUUGAGAAUGCUGGCUUUGGGAGUCAGCGGUGGAGGUUAAAAUCCUUCCUUUUUGA
This 70-nucleotide transfer RNA is filed under the name Arothron reticularis (reticulated pufferfish). RNAcentral's name for it is "tRNA-Pro". It matches the Rfam family "tRNA". Rfam says of the family: Transfer RNA (tRNA) molecules are approximately 80 nucleotides in length. Lineage: Eukaryota; Metazoa; Chordata; Actinopteri; Tetraodontiformes; Tetraodontidae. The record is from RNAcentral.